This 590-nucleotide long non-coding RNA is filed under the name Homo sapiens (human). RNAcentral describes it as "non-protein coding lnc-FBXO17-1:3". Lineage: Eukaryota; Metazoa; Chordata; Mammalia; Primates; Hominidae. The record is from RNAcentral.
GACCUCCUGGGCUCAAGCGAUCCUCCCACCUCGGCCUCCCAAGUAACUGGGACUACAGGUGCCCACCUCCACGCCCAGUUAAUUUUAAUUUUUUUUUCUUUUUUUUUGUAGAGACACAGUUUCACUAUGUUGCCUGGGCUGGUCUUGAACUCCUGUGCUCAAGCAAUCCUCUCGCCUCAGCCUCCCACAGUGCUGGGAUUACAGGCACAAGCCACUGCAUCCAGCCCGUGCGUGUUUUUGAGUGCACCAAUUCCAGCUCUAAGAUUGACGAGAUCCUACUGGCCUGGACCUGACUGUAAGCCAAAACCUGAUACUGCUGUCUGCUCUGUGCUGUUUCAGUCUCAGCAUGUGCUGUGCUAAAUUAAAAACGGGCGCACACUCCAGGAACAGCACUUCGACUAUGAGACCAUUGCAGACUUAGGGCACCCUCCGUGGGACCUAAACUGAAAACAUCAUGGAUGCUGACUGGACCAUCUGGAUCACAUAAAAAUGCCCACAGGAAAGGGCUUCUUUUUGUUUUUUGAGACGGAGUCUCACUGUCUCCCCCAGGCUGGAGUGCAGUGGCGUGAUCUCAGCUCACUGCAAGCUCU